UGAAUACGAGAUGCUACGGCGUCGAAGCAGUGUAUGUCAGACUUCCAAGAAAAGCUCGCAAUGUCAUAAAUAAAGAAUGCCUGUACCAUAACCGACACAGGUGGGUAGGUAGAGUAUACUAAGGGGCGCGAGAUAACUCUCUCUAAGGAACUCGGCAAAAUAACUCCGUAACUUCGGGAGAAGGAGUGCCUUCUUUAAGAAGGUUGCAAUAACAAGGUCCAAGCAACUGUUUAUCAAAAACACAGGUCUCCGCUAAGUCGUAAGACGAUGUAUGGGGGCUGACGCCUGCCCAGUGCCAGAAGGUUAAAGAAGUUGGUUAGCUUUUGCGAAGCUGAUGACUGAAGCCCUGGUGAACGGCGGCCGUAACGAUAACGGUCCUAAGGUAGCGAAAUUCCUUGUCGGGUAAGUUCCGACCCGCACGAAAGGCGUAAUGAUUUGGAUACUGUCUCGGAGAGGGACUCGGUGAAAUAGACUUGUCUGUGAAGAUGCGGACUACCUGCACCAGGACAGAAAGACCCUAUGAAGCUUUACUGUAACUUGAAAUUGAAAUUGGACUUUAUUUGCGCAGUAUAGGUGGAAGGCGUUGAAAGUAAUCUUGCGGGAUUAGUGGAGCCAUCAGUGAGAUACCACUCCUAUAAUGUUAGAUUUCUAACUUUGGAUCAUGAUCUGGUCAAAGAACAGUUUCAGGCGGGCAGUUUGACUGGGGCGGUCGCCUCCCAAAUGGUAACGGAGGCGUACAAAGGUUUCCUCUGAACGGGUAGAAAUCGUAUCUAGAGUGUAAAGGCAUAAGGAAGCUUGACUGUGAGACCUACAAGUCGAGCAGGGACGAAAGUCGGUCUUAGUGAUCUGACGGUGCUGAGUGGAAAGGCCGUCACUCAACGGAUAAAAGUUACUCUAAGGAUAACAGGCUGAUCUCCCCCAAGAGUUCACAUCGACGGGGAGGUUUGGCACCUCGAUGUCGGCUCAUCGCAUCCUGGGGCGGUAGUACGUCCCAAGGGUUGGGCUGUUCGCCCAUGAAAGCGGUACGCGAGCUGGGUUCAGAACGUCGUGAGACAGUUCGGUCCAUAUCCGGUGUAGGCGUUAGAAUAUUGAGAGGAGUCUUCUUUAGUACGAGAGGACCGAGAAGGACAUACCUCUGGUGUACCAGUUAUCGUGCCAACGGUAAACGCUGGGUAGCUAUGUAUGGAGAGGAUAACCGCUGAAAGCAUCUAAGUGGGAAGCCCACCUCAAGAUGAGUAUUCUC
This 1243-nucleotide ribosomal RNA is filed under the name metagenome. RNAcentral describes it as "bacterial LSU rRNA". It matches the Rfam family "Bacterial large subunit ribosomal RNA", at positions 1564 to 2815 of the family's 2925-position model. The record is from RNAcentral.